Molecule: long non-coding RNA, 507 nt
Organism: Sinocyclocheilus rhinocerous
Lineage: Eukaryota; Metazoa; Chordata; Actinopteri; Cypriniformes; Cyprinidae
Exons: 3
Source: RefSeq, a predicted model, not a curated record
ACCUAGACUGAAUGUGUCACAGACGGCGCAUGUGAAAUGUCAGUUCAGAGCAGAGAACAGCGGCCUUAUCACGUCCUCCUUCUGUCCAGUGCCUCAAGGGGACGGAUUAUGUUGUUUCUAGAAAGAGACCAGUCCCGACCAGCCAUUCAGCACCUUGGAGAGCGGCGUGCAGCACACUUUCAUUGAAGUGCAGAUCGUAAGAGAUUGUGCCAAUUCAGCAUUUAUUGACCUUCAUGUCAGCAUAAAUGCUCAUAGACAUGCACUAUAGACACACUCCCCUAUUGUUCUUUCCCACGUCUGUGUGAAAGAAUGACUUUAAUAGAAUUGUUUGUUGCGAAUGAACUGCCAUCACCAUGCCUGUAAAAAUGUUUGUCAUAUUGCAUAAAUGUGUAUGAUGAAUGUAAACGGCAUAGGUUAAUUCCCAGUGAAUAAACCAUGGAAAGACAUAGGCAGUGAAAUUUACAUAUCAAAUAAAUUUUCUACGUAUAGUGAUCAUAGACAAUAAAC